AAUAUUGGGCAAUGGGCGCAAGCCUGACCCAGCCACGCCGCGUGAGUGAUGAAGGCCUUCGGGUCGUAAAGCUCUGUGGGGAGGGACGAAAACACGCUGGCCAAUAUCCAGCGGACUGACGGUACCUCCUUAGCAAGCACCGGCUAACUCCGUGCCAGCAGCCGCGGUAAUACGGAGGGUGCAAACGUUGCUCGAAAUCAUUGGGCGUAAAGCGCACGUAGGCGGUCCAGCAAGUCGGGUGUGAAAGCCCUCGGCUUAACCGGGGAAGUGCAUUCGAAACUACUGGGCUUGAGUACUGAAGAGGAUCGCGGAAUUCCCGGUGUAGAGGUGAAAUUCGUAGAUAUCGGGAGGAACACCAGUGGCGAAGGCGGCGAUCUGGGCAGAUACUGACGCUGAUGUGCGAAAGCGUGGGGAGCAAAC
This 420-nucleotide ribosomal RNA is filed under the name uncultured bacterium. RNAcentral describes it as "bacterial SSU rRNA". It matches the Rfam family "Bacterial small subunit ribosomal RNA", at positions 360 to 773 of the family's 1533-position model. The record is from RNAcentral.